GGCCCCUUAGCUCAGUGGUCAGAGCAGUCGACUCAUAAUCGAUUGGUCCCCUGUUCAAGUCAGGGAGGGGCCACCA
This 76-nucleotide transfer RNA is filed under the name Paraphotobacterium marinum. Its description in RNAcentral is "tRNA-Ile2(cat)". It matches the Rfam family "tRNA". Rfam says of the family: Transfer RNA (tRNA) molecules are approximately 80 nucleotides in length. Their secondary structure includes four short double-helical elements and three loops (D, anti-codon, and T loops). Further hydrogen bonds mediate the characteristic L-shaped molecular structure. tRNAs have two regions of fundamental functional importance: the anti-codon, which is responsible for specific mRNA codon recognition, and the 3' end, to which the tRNAs corresponding amino acid is attached (by aminoacyl-tRNA synthetases). tRNAs cope with the degeneracy of the genetic code in two manners: having more than one tRNA (with a specific anti-codon) for a particular amino acid; and 'wobble' base-pairing, i.e. permitting non-standard base-pairing at the 3rd anti-codon position. Lineage: Bacteria; Pseudomonadati; Pseudomonadota; Gammaproteobacteria; Vibrionales; Vibrionaceae. The record is from RNAcentral.